Molecule: small nuclear RNA, 107 nt
Organism: Ictidomys tridecemlineatus (thirteen-lined ground squirrel)
Lineage: Eukaryota; Metazoa; Chordata; Mammalia; Rodentia; Sciuridae
Source: Ensembl
GUGCUCGAUUCAGCAGCAUAUACACUAAAAUUGGAACGAUAUAGAAAAGAUUAGCAUGGCCCCUGUGCAAGGAUGACAUGCAAAUUCAUGAAGAGUUCCAUAUUUUU